CCUCCUGUUGUUUUAUUUGUAAUCCACAAUCCUCGGGUUAAAAGCCAGUAUUAUGUUAAUCCAUAUAUCCAUGUUUAUGGUUGCUGGGUUUCUUUUCCAGUCCAUCAUCAGUACAGCAGCCUCGGGCGUGACAUUAUGACGCUUUAUUUUUCAUUCCUGUACCGGAAUCAGGCCUCUUUCCUCUUCCGCAGUCUGAUCCGAACGUCUCCUUAUUGUAUUUCUCUUGCUGUCAAGCACAGCCCGUGUAUUGCGUGUCCAUGGAUCGGACUGUCAGUUCAAGCAGACUUUGUAUCCAGAUACACCGGCUGAACAGGAGAGGGGGUGGAGUCGAGUGCAUUGCCGUGGGGCGCCUGGAGCCUAUCCCAGGAAACUCAGAACACAAGGCAGGGGACACCCUGGAUGGAUUACAGAGCACAAUCACACAUGCACUACGGACAAUUUAGAGAUGCCAAUCAACAUACAACGCAUGUCUUUGGACUGAGGGAGGAAACCGGAAUACCUGGAGGAAACCCCCAAAGCAUGGGAAGAACUUGCAAACUCUGCGCACACAAGGCGGAGGUGGGAAUCAAACCCCCAACCACGGAGAUCAGAGGUUCUUUGCCCGAAGGAAUCCCUGUCUUACACAGUUUAAAGUUUUCUCUACUGCUGACCAAUGUUCCUCCAUGUGGCUCAAUGUGGCUUUCAUAAAAUAAGAAAAGCUUGAUGCUGUUAUGAGAGUCAAGUGCAGGGGUGGGCAAUCUU
Ictalurus punctatus (channel catfish) is the source of this 741-nucleotide long non-coding RNA. NCBI's taxonomy places the organism in Eukaryota, Metazoa, Chordata, Actinopteri, Siluriformes, Ictaluridae. The record is from Ensembl.